GUGCACAUUUCAUUGUCUUUUUUCUUUACAUGAAGAAAAAAAGUUAUUUCUGAUGUGCUAAACAAAUCUUUAGCGGUAAAUUAGCAGCGUGACUAAUUUAGCAAUUGUCAGUCACCUUCAGACAGUG
This is a small nucleolar RNA of Nannospalax galili (Upper Galilee mountains blind mole rat), 127 nucleotides long. The record is from Ensembl. NCBI's taxonomy places the organism in Eukaryota, Metazoa, Chordata, Mammalia, Rodentia, Spalacidae.